AGAGAUGCUUUGGUGCCUUCGGGAACUCUGAGACAGGUGCUGCAUGGCUGUCGUCAGCUCGUGUUGUGAAAUGUUGGGUUAAGUCCCGCAACGAGCGCAACCCUUAUCCUUUGUUGCCAGCGGUCCGGCCGGGAACUCAAAGGAGACUGCCAGUGAUAAACUGGAGGAAGGUGGGGAUGACGUCAAGUCAUCAUGGCCCUUACGAGUAGGGCUACACACGUGCUACAAUGGCGCAUACAAAGAGAAGCGACCUCGCGAGAGCAAGCGGACCUCAUAAAGUGCGUCGUAGUCCGGAUUGGAGUCUGCAACUCGACUCCAUGAAGUCGGAAUCGCUAGUAAUCGUAGAUCAGAAUGCUACGGUGAAUACGUUCCCGGGUCUUGUACACACCG
This 390-nucleotide ribosomal RNA is filed under the name Enterobacter sp. JC29. RNAcentral describes it as "bacterial SSU rRNA". It matches the Rfam family "Bacterial small subunit ribosomal RNA", at positions 1002 to 1392 of the family's 1533-position model. Lineage: Bacteria; Pseudomonadati; Pseudomonadota; Gammaproteobacteria; Enterobacterales; Enterobacteriaceae. The record is from RNAcentral.